UACGGGGGGGGUAAGCGUUGUUCGGAAUUACUAGGCGUAAAGGGCUCGUAGGCGGCCAACUAAGUCAGACGUGAAAUCCCUCAGCUUAACUGGGGAACUGCGUCUGAUACUGGAUGGCUUGGAUUCGGGAGAGGAAUGCGGAAUUCCAGGUGUAGCGGUGAAAUGCGUAGAUAUCUGGAGGAACACCGGUGGCGAAGGCGGCAUUCUGGACCGACAUUGACGCUGAGGAGCGAAAGCCAGGGGAGCAAACGGG
Molecule: ribosomal RNA, 253 nt
Filed under: uncultured bacterium
Lineage: Bacteria
Description: partial 16S ribosomal RNA
Rfam family: Bacterial small subunit ribosomal RNA
Source: RNAcentral